Long non-coding RNA from Myotis brandtii (Brandt's bat), 155 nucleotides. RefSeq lists it as uncharacterized. NCBI's taxonomy places the organism in Eukaryota, Metazoa, Chordata, Mammalia, Chiroptera, Vespertilionidae. The transcript is spliced from 3 exons. The record is from RefSeq and is a predicted model, not a curated record.
CAAACUGACCGGGACCUUCCAAGAGGUGUGAGCUCUCAGAGAAAAGCUAAGUGAACACUCCAUGAGAUGACAACUCCAACCUGGCACCCUGAUCUUGAACUUCCAGCCUGCAGAACUUGUCUGGAGGCUUAGCAAAACCAGCAGAUGAAAACUAC